This 382-nucleotide ribosomal RNA is filed under the name uncultured bacterium. Its description in RNAcentral is "bacterial SSU rRNA". It matches the Rfam family "Bacterial small subunit ribosomal RNA", at positions 30 to 424 of the family's 1533-position model. The record is from RNAcentral.
AUUGAACGCUGGCGGCAGGCCUAACACAUGCAAGUCGAGCGGCAGCACUUCGGGUGGCGAGCGGCGAACGGGUGAGUAAUACAUGGGAAUCUGCCUGGUAGUGGGGGAUAACUCUGGGAAACUAGAGGUAAUACCGCAUACGCCCUACGGGGAAAGCGGGGAUCUUCGGACCUCGCGCUAUCAGAGGAGCCCAUGUCCGAUUAGCUAGUUGGUGAGGUAAAGGCUCACCAAGGCGACGAUCGGUAACUGGUCUGAGAGGAUGGUCAGUCACACUGGAACUGAGACACGGUCCAGACUCCUACGGGAGGCAGCAGUGGGGAAUAUUGGACAAUGGGGGCAACCCUGAUCCAGCCAUGCCGCGUGUGUGAAGAAGGCCUCGGUU